Molecule: non-coding RNA, 72 nt
Organism: Phrynosoma platyrhinos (Desert horned lizard)
Lineage: Eukaryota; Metazoa; Chordata; Lepidosauria; Squamata; Phrynosomatidae
Source: the annotation of a GenBank genome assembly
GUCAGUGUGGUGUAGUGGUUUGAACACUGGACUAAGACUCAAGAGACCAAGGUUCAAAUCCCAGCUUGGCCA